AUCCAACUGACGAGUCACCAAUAGAAUGAAACGCGCGUCCUGGAU
Molecule: non-coding RNA, 45 nt
Organism: Schistosoma mattheei
Lineage: Eukaryota; Metazoa; Platyhelminthes; Trematoda; Strigeidida; Schistosomatidae
Source: Rfam